Leptinotarsa decemlineata (Colorado potato beetle) is the source of this 486-nucleotide long non-coding RNA. RefSeq lists it as uncharacterized. The record is from RefSeq and is a predicted model, not a curated record. Lineage: Eukaryota; Metazoa; Arthropoda; Insecta; Coleoptera; Chrysomelidae.
UCCUCUGCUCGAUCAACAUACAUCGAGCGAGAUAGCAAAUAACUUUUGAUGUGAAUGAAAUAGAAUUAGUGACAAUUAAACACACCUGUUUGAUCUAGCAAAGGUAGCGAAUAAUUUCUGGCGGGACGACUGAAUCCGGAAUAUGAAAAAAUCAAGAAAAUGUAUCUCCCACUUGAACGAAUCACGGAACUCAAGUUCUGUGAAACAUUUCAAACUAAACAAGAUGGCACCAAUGCGAUUGGAUUUUUAUGGAGGAAAGUACAUUUAUUUGAGACCCUUAUUCUCAGUUAAGUGGUUCAUCUUUUCAUUUUCGAAUAAUUGAGGAAUUUGCAAGGUGAAAAUAUUCAGAAUAUUUUUCAAAAUUACCUGUGUUAUGUACACUGUUAAUUUGUUUUUUUAAUAUUCAUUUUUUUUCAUACUUUUCAGUAAUUGGAAAUUCCAAAAGUUGUUUUCUCAAUCUUCAAAAUAAACUAUGUUUGUCACUUA